This 446-nucleotide ribosomal RNA is filed under the name uncultured bacterium. RNAcentral describes it as "bacterial SSU rRNA". It matches the Rfam family "Bacterial small subunit ribosomal RNA", at positions 329 to 792 of the family's 1533-position model. The record is from RNAcentral.
CCCCAGACUCCUACGGGAGGCAGCAGUGGGGAAUAUUGCACAAUGGGGGGAACCCUGAUGCAGCGACGCCGCGUGAGUGAGGAAGUAUUUCGGUAUGUAAAGCUCUAUCAGCAGGGAAGAAAAUGACGGUACCUGACUAAGAAGCCCCGGCUAACUACGUGCCAGCAGCCGCGGUAAUACGUAGGGGGCAAGCGUUAUCCGGAUUUACUGGGUGUAAAGGGAGCGUAGACGGCUAGUCAAGUCAGAAGUGAAAGCCCAGGGCUCAACCUUGGGACUGCUUUUGAAACUGAGUAGCUAGAGUGCAGGAGAGGUAAGCGGAAUUCCUAGUGUAGCGGUGAAAUGCGUAGAUAUUAGGAGGAACACCAGUGGCGAAGGCGGCUUACUGGACUGUAACUGACGUUGAGGCUCGAAAGCGUGGGGAGCAAACAGGAUUAGAUACCCCAGUA